Conger conger (European conger) is the source of this 836-nucleotide long non-coding RNA. RefSeq lists it as uncharacterized. The record is from RefSeq and is a predicted model, not a curated record. NCBI's taxonomy places the organism in Eukaryota, Metazoa, Chordata, Actinopteri, Anguilliformes, Congridae. The transcript is spliced from 2 exons.
ACUCCUCUGUAAAGAGAGCCCAACAUCUCGGGGCUCCCUUUCGUCCUGACCAAACCGGCCCGGUCUUCAAAGGAGAGAUUUAGCGGUUGGCGGGCGGGUUAGGGGGGGUCACCGGUCUAGACUGGCCUCCAUGGUCCAGGGAGCAGCCAUGGGGGGUUACCCCUCACCCCCCCUACCUCACACCCCUGCACCUCUCGCAUAACUGCCGACUGCGGGGGACAUGGGAGAACUGCGUCUGAAAGGGAGCCUGUCUGAGGUUUUUUUUUUUGCCAUUGUGUCUUUUCUUUCAUCGAUCGAGUGAAUAUCGAACCUUCGGCCGGGGGGAAGCAUGAAACCGAUAGCUUAGGUUAUAACGUUCUCAGCCCAAGCAUUUCUUCACGCCGUCGCGGACCUCGUUCGCCCGACCUUGCGGAUCCUGAACAAUGCGAACGCGUGAGAGAUGCUCGAUCAACGGCGGGCUCCACGUCAGCCGACGGCGGCUGAACCCGGACGGGGGUUCGCAGACACCGCGAAGUCAGAGAUAGGAAGAAAAAAAAGGGAAAAAAAGAAUAAAGGAUGUUUUCAGGACCCGUGAACCGUAAUGGAAACAAAGAGGGCUUUUAUCUGGUCCCGAGUUCCAGCCAGCUUAUUCUCCAAGGCCCACGUUAACCCAGAUAAAAACAGAGGAGGAGAGGGUAUAGUAAUAUAUGCUUAUGAAUAUAUUUUAUUUUCAAACCGUAUUGUAAGCAUAUUUUAUUUCAAGGUGGGCUCCAUCGUGUGUGUGCACUCCAUUAUUGGUGUGUGAGAAAUUCUAUGGUUGUUAAUAAAAUCAAAUAAAGAUUUACAACUUACACACA